This 323-nucleotide long non-coding RNA is filed under the name Gallus gallus (chicken). The record is from RNAcentral. Lineage: Eukaryota; Metazoa; Chordata; Aves; Galliformes; Phasianidae.
UCCCAAUGCUCUCGGGGAUCCCAAUAUUGGGAUCUCAAUAUCUCGGAGAUACCCAAUGCUUCACAGAGAAGACAAGGGACAUCAGCUACAGAGAGGUGCAAAAGAGCUUUAGCAGAAGGCCCAGUACUUUCCAUCAGUCUGCCCCAGAGAGUGGCAUUCUCUGUCUUCCGGACACUUUUCAGAAGCAUUGUCACUAGCUCUGCAGCCCUGUUCAAUAAGGGCUGAAAUAAACCCCAUUCCAACCACUUAGAUCUGCUACAGGACAGAGAUUCUUCAACUUAUACUGGCACAGCUCAGCUCUCCCUACAGAGUCCAGACGUGAU